Molecule: unclassified non-coding RNA, 900 nt
Filed under: Hevea brasiliensis (rubber tree)
Lineage: Eukaryota; Viridiplantae; Streptophyta; Magnoliopsida; Malpighiales; Euphorbiaceae
Source: RNAcentral
UGUGCUAUUAUACAUAAUGAAUUAGCAGAAGGCAUCCAAAACUUUACAAAUUAAAUUUAUUUGCUACGUGGAGGGUUUGGGCCCUUUGGACGCAUCCAUACAACAAAAUCCCCAAGUUGGUACAGGCAAUCCAAUGGAAAGGGUGACAUAAUUCGCGUCUAAGAUAUCAUCCCGUUAACGCUUAACAAUUCUCAUAAAACCGCAGAAAGAGUAAACAUGCUGGAUCUCAACAAGUUGUCAUUAAUCUGCAUUUACAAGAUUACUACUAUUCUUCAUUUGGAGCUAUUGAAUAAUUCUACUUUACAAUCAAUUCAAUCAACAACCGGGCGCCAUAACCAAAAUAUAAUCAAAACUGGGGAGAACCUCAAGAAUGUUAGCGCAGACAGUGGCAGCAAUCGCCUUCGCUGCAUGGAGAUUCUCGCCAGCAAUAAUAGUCAAGUUAGUGAUUAUAGGCUUCGAAUUAAAAGUGAGCUCAGCAAGAGCUCUCUUGUACUGGCUCACAAGCUCCUGAUAUUGCUGUGAUUACGCGCCGCCACGGCUUGAAUCAUUGCUCUCUGAGUCUCUAUCGGUCGUAACCCUCAACCUCGCAGAAGAUGAUGGUGGUAGUGCUGCAGCGGGCCUCUGAGGGAAAGGUCGAGCAUUAAGGCUUGUUUGGUCUUCGGCCAAUCGAGGUUUCUUCAAGCCCGGUUCCCUUGAUCUAUCGAAGGAUCUACGAGUACUCUCCAUUUCCAUGACAACACAAAACAAAAUAAAAUAAAAACCCUAACCCUAGUUCCAAAUCCCCAAUCCACUCUUCAUUACAUGGCAAAUACCAUCAAAAUUGAAACCCAUAAAUUAAAAAAACAAAAACCACAAGAUAAACAUUAAAAGCUUAUAAGAAGCUGGAAGGGAAAAAUUACA